GAUCCUGGCUCAGGAUGAACGCUGGCGGCGUGCCUAACACAUGCAAGUCGAGCGAAGCGAUCGAGAUGAAGUUUUCGGAUGGAUUCCUGAUUGACUGAGCGGCGGACGGGUGAGUAACGCGUGGGUAACCUGCCUCAUACAGGGGGAUAACAGUUAGAAAUGACUGCUAAUACCGCAUAAGCGCACAGUACCACAUGGUACGGUGUGAAAAACUCCGGUGGUAUGAGAUGGACCCG
RNAcentral lists this ribosomal RNA (236 nucleotides) under uncultured bacterium. Its description in RNAcentral is "partial 16S ribosomal RNA". It matches the Rfam family "Bacterial small subunit ribosomal RNA", at positions 15 to 233 of the family's 1533-position model. The record is from RNAcentral.